UUGAACGCUGGCGGCAGGCCUAACACAUGCAAGUCGAAUGGUAACAGGAAACAGCUUGCUGUUUCGCUGACGAGUGGCGGACGGGUGAGUAAUGUCUGGGAAACUGCCUGAUGGAGGGGGAUAACUACUGGAAACGGUAGCUAAUACCGCAUAACGUCGCAAGACCAAAGAGGGGGACCUUCGGGCCUCUUGCCAUCAGAUGUGCCCAGAUGGGAUUAGCUAGUAGGUGGGGUAACGGCUCACCUAGGCGACGAUCCCUAGCUGGUCUGAGAGGAUGACCAGCCACACUGGAACUGAGACACGGUCCAGACUCCUACGGGAGGCAGCAGUGGGGAAUAUUGCACAAUGGGCGCAAGCCUGAUGCAGCCAUGCCGCGUGUAUGAAGAAGGCCUUCGGGUUGUAAAGUACUUUCAGCGGGGAGGAAGGGAGUAAAGUUAAUACCUUUGCUCAUUGACGUUACCCGCAGAAGAAGCACCGGCUAACUCCGUG
This 489-nucleotide ribosomal RNA is filed under the name uncultured bacterium. RNAcentral describes it as "bacterial SSU rRNA". It matches the Rfam family "Bacterial small subunit ribosomal RNA", at positions 30 to 507 of the family's 1533-position model. The record is from RNAcentral.